Long non-coding RNA from Orcinus orca (killer whale), 488 nucleotides. RefSeq lists it as uncharacterized. The record is from RefSeq and is a predicted model, not a curated record. Lineage: Eukaryota; Metazoa; Chordata; Mammalia; Artiodactyla; Delphinidae. The transcript has 3 exons.
CGAAGUUCCUCUACAUUCCGUUCUAGCUGUGGAAGAUAGAUGAUAGGCAAGUAAACAACUCUGUGAAAAACAUAAUUCUGGGAAGUGGGCAUGGUAUUGAGGCUCAAUGAAGUUAAAGGACUGCUCAAGGUCAUAAAGCCAGGGCUGGUCCACAAGCCUGGCAGGUGUCAGUCCCCUCAUGGAAGGGGGCUAUGGCACAGGGGGCAACUUCCCCUGCCCCAGCUCACAGAUGGAUAAUUUCAAAAAGAUGAAGAUAUGAACAAAAGUAGUUGUCCAAACAAGGAAUGCACCAAGUGCUGGGCUAAGGACAAAGAAGAUAUGUCUCUUUAAGAAUUCACUCAUGAAUAAGGAAGUGCUUGGUGUUUGCUGAAAUGACACCACAAUGUGUGAGAACAAGAGCAGUUUGAAAGUUAUUUGACAAUUUCAACAGUUUUAAAAAUGUUCAGUCCUUUGACCCAAGAAUUUUGCUCCUGGGAACAUAAAAAAAU